Molecule: ribosomal RNA, 200 nt
Filed under: uncultured bacterium
Lineage: Bacteria
Description: partial 16S ribosomal RNA
Rfam family: Bacterial small subunit ribosomal RNA
Source: RNAcentral
AGCGAACGCUGGCGGCAGGCCUAACACAUGCAAGUCGAACGGACCCUUCGGGGUUAGUGGCGGACGGGUGAGUAACACGUGGGAACGUGCCUUUAGGCUCGGAAUAGCUCCUGGAAACGGGUGGUAAUGCCGAAUGUGCCCUUGGGGAAAGAUUUAUCGCCUUUAGAGCGGCCCGCGUCUGAUUAGCUUGUUGGUGAGGU